UACGGAGGGUGCAAGCGUUACUCGGAAUUAUUGGGCGUAAAGGGCGCGUAGGCGGCCUGUUAAGUCUAGUGUGAAAUCCCCGGACUCAAUUCGGGAACUGCACUAGAUACUGGCGGGCUAGAGUUCAGGAGGGGAGAGCGGAAUUCCUGGUGUAGAGGUGAAAUUCGCAGAUAUCAGGAGGAACAACAGUGGCGAAGGCGGCUCUCUAGACUGAUACUGACGCUGAGGCGCGAAAGCGUGGGGAGCAAACAGG
Molecule: ribosomal RNA, 253 nt
Filed under: uncultured bacterium
Lineage: Bacteria
Description: partial 16S ribosomal RNA
Rfam family: Bacterial small subunit ribosomal RNA
Source: RNAcentral